RNAcentral lists this ribosomal RNA (428 nucleotides) under uncultured bacterium. RNAcentral's name for it is "partial 16S ribosomal RNA". It matches the Rfam family "Bacterial small subunit ribosomal RNA", at positions 354 to 796 of the family's 1533-position model. The record is from RNAcentral.
GUGGGGAAUAUUGGGCAAUGGGCGCAAGCCUGUCCCAGCAACGCCGCGUGAAGGAAGAAGGCUUUCGGGUUGUAAACUUCUUUUACCAGGGACGAAACAAAUGACGGUACCUGGUGAAUAAGCCACGGCUAACUACGUGCCAGCAGCCGCGGUAAUACGUAGGUGGCGAGCGUUAUCCGGAUUUAUUGGGUGUAAAGGGCGUGUAGGCGGGACAGCAAGUCAGAUGUGAAAACCAGAGGCUCAACCUCUGGCCUGCAUUUGAAACUGUUGUUCUUGAGUGUCGGAGAGGUAAUCGGAAUUCCGUGUGUAGCGGUGAAAUGCGUAGAUAUACGGAGGAACACCAGUGGCGAAGGCGGAUUACUGGACGAUAACUGACGCUGAGGCGCGAAAGCGUGGGGAGCAAACAGGAUUAGAAACCCGGGUAGUCC